RNAcentral lists this ribosomal RNA (753 nucleotides) under Bacillus sp. (in: firmicutes). RNAcentral's name for it is "bacterial SSU rRNA". It matches the Rfam family "Bacterial small subunit ribosomal RNA", at positions 69 to 807 of the family's 1533-position model. Lineage: Bacteria; Bacillati; Bacillota; Bacilli; Caryophanales; Bacillaceae. The record is from RNAcentral.
GGAUUGAGAGCUUGCUCUCAAGAAGUUAGCGGCGGACGGGUGAGUAACACGUGGGUAACCUGCCCAUAAGACUGGGAUAACUCCGGGAAACCGGGGCUAAUACCGGAUAAUAUUUUGAACUGCAUGGUUCGAAAUUGAAAGGCGGCUUCGGCUGUCACUUAUGGAUGGACCCGCGUCGCAUUAGCUAGUUGGUGAGGUAACGGCUCACCAAGGCAACGAUGCGUAGCCGACCUGAGAGGGUGAUCGGCCACACUGGGACUGAGAACGGCCCCAGACUCCUACGGGAGGCAGCAGUAGGGAAUCUUCCGCAAUGGACGAAAGUCUGACGGAGCAACGCCGCGUGAGUGAUGAAGGCUUUCGGGUCGUAAAACUCUGUUGUUAGGGAAGAACAAGUGCUAGUUGAAUAAGCUGGCACCUUGACGGUACCUAACCAGAAAGCCACGGCUAACUACGUGCCAGCAGCCGCGGUAAUACGUAGGUGGCAAGCGUUAUCCGGAAUUAUUGGGCGUAAAGCGCGCGCAGGUGGUUUCUUAAGUCUGAUGUGAAAGCCCACGGCUCAACCGUGGAGGGUCAUUGGAAACUGGGAGACUUGAGUGCAGAAGAGGAAAGUGGAAUUCCAUGUGUAGCGGUGAAAUGCGUAGAGAUAUGGAGGAACACCAGUGGCGAAGGCGACUUUCUGGUCUGUAACUGACACUGAGGCGCGAAAGCGUGGGGAGCAAACAGGAUAGAUACCCUGGUAGUCCCGCCGUAAAC